CUUCAAAGCCCUAAGCAAGUAUAAUUUACUUAAUUCCUG
This 39-nucleotide transfer RNA is filed under the name Rupicapra rupicapra caucasica. RNAcentral's name for it is "partial tRNA-Trp". The record is from RNAcentral. Lineage: Eukaryota; Metazoa; Chordata; Mammalia; Artiodactyla; Bovidae.